UACGAAGGGGGCUAGCGUUGUUCGGAAUCACUGGGCGUAAAGGGCGCGUAGGCGGCUUUGUAAGUCGGGGGUGAAGCCUGUGGCUCAACCACAGAAUUGCCUUCGAUACUGCAUGGCUUGAGACCGGAAGAGGUAAGUGGAACUGCGAGUGUAGAGGUGAAAUUCGUAGAUAUUCGCAAGAACACCAGUGGCGAAGGCGGCUUACUGGUCCGGUUCUGACGCUGAGGCGCGAAAGCGUGGGGAGCAAACAGG
Molecule: ribosomal RNA, 252 nt
Filed under: uncultured bacterium
Lineage: Bacteria
Description: partial 16S ribosomal RNA
Rfam family: Bacterial small subunit ribosomal RNA
Source: RNAcentral